UAUGGCAAUGGUAAAGGUGACAUCUUCAGUAACAAAUUGGUUGUGACAACAGACGAUUCCAACGACGGACUGGUGAUGAAGACGUCUCUCCUUUGUACUCUUGCGGUGGGUCUUGUCCUACUCGCUCAAAGUGAAGGACGCAACGUAGGGGGUAGCGGAUAUGGAUGUCCUGGGGUAAUGUGUUUCAUCGCCCCUUGUGUGAACAGCUUCUGUCGUUCCCAUCCCGAGGCCACAUGUCGCCACAAAUGUCCCUGUCAGGAGGAAUGGGUGGACAGCUCCGGUAGACAAGUCCACGGAUGCAAUGAUUAUGAUUAUUAACAAUCUUCGAUUCGUCAUAAAGUCUUCUUGAAUUCGUCUCCAAUGUACUACGUACUUUUGACAACAUCUCGAGCAAAUAAGUGCACACCUACA
Long non-coding RNA from Lineus longissimus, 411 nucleotides. RefSeq lists it as uncharacterized. Lineage: Eukaryota; Metazoa; Nemertea; Pilidiophora; Heteronemertea; Lineidae. The record is from RefSeq and is a predicted model, not a curated record. The transcript has 3 exons.